RNAcentral lists this long non-coding RNA (729 nucleotides) under Helianthus annuus (common sunflower). RNAcentral describes it as "hypothetical non coding rna". Lineage: Eukaryota; Viridiplantae; Streptophyta; Magnoliopsida; Asterales; Asteraceae. The record is from RNAcentral.
AUGGAUAGAAUGUUGGAAGCCAAAACAGUUUACGGUUAAAGUUGGGGAUGGGCCAUUGAAAAGCGUAAAAAACCAAAGUUUUAGACCCAAAAAAUUACCUUGGGCUGGUACCGGUAUUACGGUUCAAACCGGUAUACCGGGUUUUACCGCCAGUACAACUCUUAUGUCGUUUCACUAUAUUACCGAGGUGUUUCGUAUCGGAUUCACAUCCGAGACCGGUGAUACCGGCCGGUAUUUACCGGUUUUUAAAACAUUGCCCCUAACGCGUCUUGAAUAGCCAAAAGAGAAGAGUUCUAGAAACUCGGUGUAGUGACUUGUAAUUUAGGUGGGACUUGUAUUUUAGUUUCGGUUACUUGGAUAAUGGCGGUUAUACAAUUGUGGUAACCAUGUCUAAAUCUAGGUAUUCUUCUAUGGAUCGUCUGAACUUGAAUUAUUGUAGUGAGGUGAAUAAUUGAAAAUCGAAUAAUUUAUUGUAUAGAAAAAUUUACUCUUUUUCUCAUAUUUUUUUGUUUUGUAAUAGUUUUGCUUUUGUUGAACAUUUUUCUUACUUUAGUAGCAUGAUUAAUUUUAUGUUUUGAUUGUUUUUUUUUUUUCAUUUAAAGUUUGAUGUUUAUUAUAUUGUCUUCUAGACUGAUUUAUAAGUUAAGAAUAAAACACAACAAAUGGCUAAGAACAUUCUUUUGUAGUGAGCUAAUUUAAAAGUUAGUUAAAAAGGGUGUAAACACAUAA